CAAAAAAGAAAAGUAAACGGUCCAUUUUGUAUCUUCACGGGUCACCCAAGUUUCUCCAGGUCAUAACCCCUCCCUCCCUCUCUCUCUACACCCCCAUUUCUCUGGAAUUUCCCCAAAAACCACCCCAAAAAAAUGUCAAAACCUUUACAGCUACCGACACCCCCCUCCCCAAACUUCGCAUUAGCAGCAGCUCUCCUCCACAACUCUCUCUCUCUCUCUCUCUCUUUCUCGUCUUUCUAGACCCGAAAUCCUAUCUGGGUUUCCACCCGUUUCGGAUUCGGACCCCCCGGGUUGACCAUGGACUCGAGCUCUGCUUCAGCAGGUGACCACAACAUCAGAGGGGUGCUGACCCACGGCGGACGCUACGUUCAGUACAAUGUCUAUGGCAACAUCUUUGAAGUUUCCAGGAAGUACGUCCCGCCCCUUCGGCCCGUCGGCAGAGGUGCUUACGGUAUCGUCUGUGCUGCUGUCAACGCUGAGGCUCGUGAGGAGGUUGCCAUUAAGAAGAUUGGUAAUGCAUUUGACAACAGAAUAGAUGCCAAAAGGACCUUACGAGAAAUUAAACUUCUUCGGCACAUGGAUCAUGAAAAUGUUAUUGCCAUCAAAGACAUCAUACGGCCUCCACAGAAGGAGAACUUCAAUGAUGUCUACAUUGUUUAUGAAUUAAUGGACACUGAUCUUCAUCAGAUUAUACGGUCCAACCAACCUUUGAAUGAUGAUCAUUGUCGGUACUUUCUUUAUCAGUUGUUACGUGGGCUCAAAUAUGUACAUUCAGCUGGUGUUUUGCAUCGUGAUUUAAAGCCCAGCAAUUUGUUCAUGAAUGCAAAUUGUGACCUUAAGAUUGGAGAUUUUGGUCUUGCCAGGACAACAUCUGAAACUGAUUUCAUGACUGAGUAUGUUGUUACUCGUUGGUACCGUGCACCAGAAUUGCUGCUUAAUUGUUCGGAGUACACUGCAGCAAUUGAUAUAUGGUCUGUAGGUUGCAUUCUAGGUGAAAUCAUGACCAGAAAACCCCUAUUCCCUGGCAAAGAUUAUGUACAUCAGCUGAGACUCAUAACAGAGCUCUUAGGCUCACCUGAUGACUCCAGCCUUGGAUUUUUACGAAGUGAUAAUGCUCGAAGAUAUGUUCGACAACUACCUCAGUACCCAAAGCGGAGCUUCUCGCUCGGGUUUCCUAAUAUGUCUCCUAGCUCUAUAGAUUUGCUGGAGAAGAUGCUUAUCUUUGACCCAAACAGGCGCAUUACAGUUGAUGAGGCUCUUUCCCACCCAUACUUGGCGCCUCUUCAUGAUAUCAACGAGGAGCCUGUCUGCCCAAUGCCUUUCAAUUUUGAUUUUGAGCAACCCUCGUUUACUGAAGAGAACAUCAAGGAGCUCAUCUGGAGAGAGUCCGUAAGGUUCAAUCCAGAUCCAUUUCAAUGAGGAUCAUGAUAUAAUCUGUUGUAUACUCUUACAAACUAAUCUCAAAACUGAUUGCAAUGACAUGUUUGUGGAUUCUGUAAUUGUCGAAUGUGUGAAAGGAGUCAAUAGCUGAAUCUCAAGGCUGCCUAGUCGGUGUAAUCUACUAAUCUGUGAUUCUCUAGAGUUCCAAUCGCUCAUUGGUGCAGGUUUGUGCUGGUUAGCAGUUUAUAAUCCGAUGAGGACUAUCACCCAGCACCGUUGUAAGGCCCGACAGUGUUGCAGUUAUAUCUGUUUAGAAUGGUAGGUCUGAAUGGGAACAGUUGCUUCAUUUUUUUAGGUCUGAAUGUGGAUGUUUUUGUCGUGAAAAAUCUUUGAUUCUGUGUAUGUUUUGUUUUACCUUCAAGUUUGUUUCCGUUGUUAGACUCCUACGAGACAAUUCCGUGCUCUGCUUUCUUGUGAAAAUAUCUAAUAAAAUGCUUGCUUAGAAACUACCA
Molecule: non-coding RNA, 1892 nt
Organism: Malus domestica (apple)
Lineage: Eukaryota; Viridiplantae; Streptophyta; Magnoliopsida; Rosales; Rosaceae
Source: RefSeq, a predicted model, not a curated record